GAUGAACGCUGGCGGCGUGCCUAAUACAUGCAAGUCGAGCGAACAGACGAGGAGCUUGCUCCUUUGACGUUAGCGGCGGACGGGUGAGUAACACGUGGAUAACCUACCUAUAAGACUGGGAUAACUUCGGGAAACCGGAGCUAAUACCGGAUAACAUGUUGAACCGCAUGGUUCAACAGUGAAAGACGGUCUUGCUGUCACUUAUAGAUGGAUCCGCGCUGCAUUAGCUAGUUGGUAAGGUAACGGCUUACCAAGGCAACGAUGCGUAGCCGACCUGAGAGGGUGAUCGGCCACACUGGAACUGAGACACGGUCCAGACUCCUACGGGAGGCAGCAGUAGGGAAUCUUCCGCAAUGGGCGAAAGCCUGACGGAGCAACGCCGCGUGAGUGAAGAAGGUCUUCGGAUCGUAAAACUCUGUUAUUAGGGAAGAACAAAUGUGUAAGCAACUAUGCACGUCUUGACGGUACCUAAUCAGAAAGCCACGGCUAACUACGU
Molecule: ribosomal RNA, 496 nt
Filed under: uncultured bacterium
Lineage: Bacteria
Description: partial 16S ribosomal RNA
Rfam family: Bacterial small subunit ribosomal RNA
Source: RNAcentral